Long non-coding RNA from Gossypium arboreum, 551 nucleotides. RefSeq lists it as uncharacterized. The record is from RefSeq and is a predicted model, not a curated record. Lineage: Eukaryota; Viridiplantae; Streptophyta; Magnoliopsida; Malvales; Malvaceae. The transcript is spliced from 2 exons.
AAGAUCAUGGUUGGACCAUGGCAGUGUUUAUAUGUAAGACCAUAGAUGGGCUAUGGCAUUCUGAUGAUAAGACUAUAACUGGGUUAUAGCACUACGAAUGUAAAACCAUGGCAGGGCCAUGGCAAUGCAUAUAUAAGACCAUAGUUGGACUAUAGCACAAAGGAAACAUGUACCGGAGUUUCAAUCGUCUUCAUAGUAUUCCUCGAUUAUAAAAAAAAGGAUGGUUUCGACCAUCGUUUAACACUUUGUGUGAGCUUCAGUAAGGGUUUCGAUUGACUUCACUACGACAAAUAUGAAAAGGUUAGGUACUCUCUUUUGAUCAUCGACUCAGUAUCCAACAACAAUAAUCCCGAUCUCAAGAUUGGUGGUGUUUAAUGUUGUAAUGGCAUGUACCUAGGAUGUCUUUGGUUGUUAGUUGUUUUGUGAAUGUGGUGUAAAUUGAGUUAUAAGUAUAUGUUUAUGUUUGAAGCUAGUAUGCGUUUUAACCAAAGGCUUGGUAUGUGUAUGAAACUUAAAGCUUGGUGUCUUCAGUAGCUUUAUGUUAGGCUAAA